This 300-nucleotide unclassified non-coding RNA is filed under the name uncultured Capnodiaceae. RNAcentral's name for it is "sequence contains 5.8S rRNA gene, ITS2". The stretch from base 1 to 91 matches the Rfam family "5.8S ribosomal RNA", at positions 58 to 154 of the family's 154-position model. Lineage: Eukaryota; Fungi; Ascomycota; Dothideomycetes; Capnodiales; Capnodiaceae. The record is from RNAcentral.
ACGAUGGGUAUAAGAGCAAGGUGAAUCAUCGAAUCUUUGAACGCAUAUUGCGCCCCUUGGUAUUCCUUGGGGCACACCUGUUCGAGCGUCAUUUCACCAAUCAAGCCUCGCUUGGUGUUGGGCGAUGCGCACGUCGCACGCCUCAAAUGCCCCGGCCGAGCAGUCUCUCACCCGGCGUCGUGGAAACAUACCGCUACGGAGACGAGACCUGCCCGUGCCGCAGAAUAACCUAUUUUCUAAAGGUUGACCUCGGAUCAGGUGGGGAUACCCGCUGAACUUAAGCAUAUCAAUAAGCGGAGG